CUUUUAAUAGGAAAUACGACGCUGAAGCUCCAGUGCUCUCUAACGCAUCUUAAUAAAUACAUAUAAAAAAAGAAAAGAACCGGUUUCCACAGCAACUGGCACCUGAGUAACCGCGGAGAGGAGCUUGAAGGCAUCAGGUUAUAAAAUGACAUCUUUGCAUCCUGACGCGUAUGCAUUGAUCUCGUGUCAUACGCAAUUAGAGCGCGUGCUGGCGGGUGCUAUUCAUCUCUCAGACGUUUGUGCGGGAAAAGGCGUUAAUGAAUACCGCCGCGCGCGCCUCCUGCUUCCGUAAACUCCUCAUGUUUACCUCAGACAUGCCAGGAUUGGAUGAGGCAGGUUUUUAUAUAGCGGAACUGACGUAAAGCUUUUAUCAAACGGCAGAGCGAUGGGAGUCAAGCAGCCAAUCAAUGUUUGUCUGUAAUGAUGCACGUCUAAGCUUCUUCCUGCGACAGCGUCUGACUGUGACACAGCGAAAUGCAACAGAUAUUUUUGAAAGGGGCUUGGGUGCACUCGCAUAUCUCAGGGGAACUUUAAAUGAGUUCGCAGGGUGUCGUUAAUACGACGGACAGCAUGAAUAAACCAGUACACCCAGCAGUGACCGGCCUGUGGUUCUCCUGGAACAGCUGUGACCAUAGCCAUGAAUCAUGUCAUCCGGCCGGGCUUAUGAAAGAGCUCUGCGUCUAUGCGUGCGACUCAGACAGACACAGUGAGCCGAGCGGGUGGUACUAAAUCAUCCUGUUCAUCACUCCCAAUGCAUUCGCCCAGUAAGACACACGCCGGAUUUAUGAGGUACCAAAGCUACCGGUCACUGAUCUGAAUACACUGUUUGUUUUCAUGCUGAUCUGCUGUACACUGUGCAGAACAAUAUCAUGAUGUUUAUAACCUGUAAUGCAUACUGCAGAGUAGCUACAGUCACAGCGAUGCCAGAGAGGAACCAUUUUUGGUUCCCCAAAGAACAUUUUAGUCAAAGGCUCCUAAAACAUUUUUAUAGAAACUUUUUGACUACAAAGAACUUUUUAAGCAACAGUAAGGUGUUAAAUGGUUUUUAUGCAACCAUACAGCCAGACAAAAACAUUUUAGGAACCUUUAUUUUUAAUAGCAUAUAGAUGAGAGAAUAAGCAGAGGUGGAUUGUGGGAUCUUGUGUUCUUUUUCAUGAUGAAAGGCAUUGAUAUUAAAGUCAACAUGAAACGGUAUUCUCAAAGCAGUAUCCUUCAAUAACGUACGUAGUGAUCUCUGAAGUAAAACUCACAAAUGUAGGGCAGGAUUCUCAUUUGUAUUUAUGUGUUUGCCGAAAUGCUUCUUCUUCAGUUAUGUCACAGUAUGUUUGUGUCUAAUCUGUAAUGUCACCUCAUGCUGUGUGUGUGCAUAACAAACAAGAUUAAACAUUUGCAAACCAUUUCAUUUACGUAAUUUAACAUACUGAAUUUUUAUUGAAUCAACUUUUAUGCGGGGCAAAAAAAAAUGCGGGUUUAGUUGUAACAGGGACUGUUUACAUUGUUGCACAAGGUUGAGUGUUUUGUUUUUACGGUAUUUUUUAUGCUGCCAAAAGCCGAUCUCCCGCAAAUUAUUGGAAAUGUAUAUGGUUUUUCCAGAGAGUUAUUGAUGAACGAGUGUUUUGGUGGCAUGUAAGUAAUUUUUUUCUUCAUAUAUUUUUUUCGGUUUCUAAGUUGGGUGUGUAAGAUACCAAAUCCAAUGCUAUGUCAUAUUAAUCAGUGUCUUGUUGACUACAACAUAGCAUCGUUUUGAAAUAGUCUGCAGCUCUUAGCAACUUUUUUGGUAGGCUUGAAAAUAUUUUGACUCAGCGGGGUUAAUUGUAACGCUGUGUUACAACUAACCCCUCAGCACUUACGAUAUGAAAACAGCUAACGUUAGCGUAAUUCUUGCCGUUGUUUUAAAUAGGCUACACGUGAAUGAUUGUUGGCUGCAAACAAAACAAAUGUGCCUGUCUUAUCAAAAAUGUAUUUUUGUUCAUAUCUUUAAUAUUGAUUAAAUAAGGUCAAAGAUUGAAAUCAUAAUGAAAUGAAUGGCUAAAAUCAGACUUUGAUGCUCAUUAUCUCAGAAUUUGAUUUUGAAACUGUAGUAUGGUUAUUACAGACUGGGUCACAUAUAAAAAAAAAUUGUCAUAAUUUUGCUGCUUUUUCUCACAUAUUUAGACAUUUGUAUCCAUUUAUAAUUGAACUAUUGUUAGAAAAGGGCUGGAUGAAUGAAUACAGUGUGGAUACCUGUCUAUUAUAGACAGAUAUAUAAACAAUAUCCACUUCAAGUAUAUAGACAUAAUAGUAUUGAAAUAUUUGCCUG
Molecule: non-coding RNA, 2299 nt
Organism: Misgurnus anguillicaudatus (oriental weatherfish)
Lineage: Eukaryota; Metazoa; Chordata; Actinopteri; Cypriniformes; Cobitidae
Source: RefSeq, a predicted model, not a curated record